CGGUCACAGCAGCCACGCGGGGAACCCCUGCCAGACCGCGCCAGAAGGGCCGGUCCGCACCCUUGCCGCGGGGACCGGGCCCGAACGCUGACCACCUCCUGCAGUCACAGGCCUUCUGCCAUGAGCUCACCUUAGCUACAUUUUCUCAGUGAAUUUUUGUGUAAGUGUGCUUCUUUCCCCCCCGAAAGUCUUACAUUUUAUGGUCUGUCUCUUCAGAUUGCGAAAUGUAAUCCCCCCCCCCCAGUAGAAAAUGAGCACAGGAUAAAACGCAGGAAGAGGAAAAUGCGCUCCCUCCCCUCCUCCGAGCGGCCCCCUUGGGGUGGGAACCUCUCGGGGUGGGGGUGGCUCUGCCCCACACCCUCGGGGAGUGGGGGCCUUCACCUGGCCCUCCUGGGGCCCCUCUGGGGACCCGAACUUCUGGGUUACGGUUAGGGUGGGGUUAGGGUUAGGACUAGGAUAGUGCCAGGAGCUCGGCAGGACCAGGGUUGGGGGGUGAGGUUAGAGUUGGGUUAGGGUUCGGGUCCGGGGUCGGGAUCGGGUUCGGGAUCCGGUUUGGUUAAGGGUCUGGUCCGGGGUCGGGAUCGGGUUAGGGAUCCGGUUUGGUUAAGGGUUCGGGUCCGGGGUCGGGGUCGGGUUAGGGCUAGGAGAGUGUGAGGAGCCGGGCAGCGCUCUCAGGGCCUGGGCCGGGGACACGCGCCCUGGAGGCGGCGUGGAGAGCACCCUCGCCUGGCGUCGUGCAGAGGACACGGUGCGGGGACCCGCGUCCGGACGCAGAGCGGGAACCGGGCAGAGCCGUGGUCGUGCACCCGGACCCUGCUCGGCGUCCAGGCGGGCUCGCGGGCGCAGCCGUGAUCUGCGGGGAAGGGCGUCGAGAGCCGCACGGAGUUCACGUUCAAUGCCGUUUGUUUCUUCAGUUCAAAUCCGAGAAAUACACGCUGCACCCCCGGCCUAGAACUCCCAGCCCGGCCCUCCCCGCCGCCCUCCGGGGAGGAGGCUGGGCCGCGGGGCAGAGCGCUUCCCGCGCGGGGCCGCUGCGCCCCCUGCCGGGCACUGUCGGCUCUGCAGGCCCGAGCGAGCUCCCGAAGGCGGCCGGAGGACCGCGCCACGCGACGGGCUGCCCCCGCUGGGUGGGUCGGUACCGGCUCCGCGCCCUGGUGGCCGCCCAGCAGCGGGGUGAAACGAGGACACUUGCGACCGCACCACAUUCACAGUCCGUGACUUAA
RNAcentral lists this long non-coding RNA (1223 nucleotides) under Chinchilla lanigera (long-tailed chinchilla). RNAcentral describes it as "lncRNA (ENSCLAG00000028260.1)". Lineage: Eukaryota; Metazoa; Chordata; Mammalia; Rodentia; Chinchillidae. The record is from RNAcentral.